CCUACGGGUGGCAGCAGUGGGGAAUAUUGGACAAUGGGCGAAAGCCUUAUCCAGCCAUGCCGCGUGUGUGAAGAAGGCCUUCGGGUUGUAAAGCACUUUCAGUGGGGAAGAAAGCCUUGGGGCUAAUACCCUCGAGGAAGGACAUCACCCACAGAAGAAGCACCGGCUAACUCCGUGCCAGCAGCCGCGGUAAUACGGAGGGUGCGAGCGUUAAUCGGAAUUACUGGGCGUAAAGCGCGCGUAGGCGGUCUGAUAAGCCGGUUGUGAAAGCCCCGGGCUCAACCUGGGAACGGCAUCCGGAACUGUCAGGCUAGAGUGCAGGAGAGGAAGGUAGAAUUCCCGGUGUAGCGGUGAAAUGCGUAGAGAUCGGGAGGAAUACCAGUGGCGAAGGCGGCCUUCUGGACUGACACUGACGCUGAGGUGCGAAAGCGUGGGUAGCAAACAGGAUUAGAUACCCCAGUAGUC
Molecule: ribosomal RNA, 465 nt
Filed under: Vreelandella stevensii
Lineage: Bacteria; Pseudomonadati; Pseudomonadota; Gammaproteobacteria; Oceanospirillales; Halomonadaceae
Description: partial 16S ribosomal RNA
Rfam family: Bacterial small subunit ribosomal RNA
Source: RNAcentral